Molecule: transfer RNA, 71 nt
Filed under: Loxodonta africana (African savanna elephant)
Lineage: Eukaryota; Metazoa; Chordata; Mammalia; Proboscidea; Elephantidae
Rfam family: tRNA
About the family: Transfer RNA (tRNA) molecules are approximately 80 nucleotides in length. Their secondary structure includes four short double-helical elements and three loops (D, anti-codon, and T loops).
Source: Rfam by way of RNAcentral
GUAUUGGUGAUUCAGUGGUAGAAGUCUAAUCUCCCACAUGGGAAAUCUGGGUUGGAUUCCAAGCCAGUGCA